This 817-nucleotide ribosomal RNA is filed under the name uncultured Desulfobacterales bacterium. RNAcentral's name for it is "bacterial SSU rRNA". It matches the Rfam family "Bacterial small subunit ribosomal RNA", at positions 325 to 1130 of the family's 1533-position model. Lineage: Bacteria; Pseudomonadati; Thermodesulfobacteriota; Desulfobacteria; Desulfobacterales. The record is from RNAcentral.
CACGGUCCAGACUCCUACGGGAGGCAGCAGUGAGGAAUUUUGCGCAAUGGGGGCAACCCUGACGCAGCAACGCCGCGUGAGUGAUGAAGGCCCUUGGGUCGUAAAACUCUGUCAGCAGGAAAGAAAUUAUAUUUGGUUAAUACCCGAGUAUAUUGACGGUACCUGCAAAGGAAGCACCGGCUAACUCCGUGCCAGCAGCCGCGGUAAUACGGGGGGUGCAAGCGUUAUUCGGAAUUAUUGGGCGUAAAGGGCGCGUAGGCGGCUUAUCAGGUCAGAUGUGAAAGCCCGGGGCUUAACCCCGGAAGUGCAUUUGAAACCGGUAGGCUUGAGUAUGGGAGAGGAAAGUGGAAUUCCUGGUGUAGAGGUGAAAUUCGUAGAUAUCAGGAGGAACAUCAGUGGCGAAGGCGACUUUCUGGACCAAUACUGACGCUGAGGCGCGAAGGCGAGGGUAGCAAACAGGAUUAGAUACCCUGGUAGUCCACGCAGUAAACGUUGUUCACUAGGUGUAGCGGGUAUUGACCCCUGCUGUGCCGCAGCUAACGCAUUAAGUGAACCGCCUGGGAAGUACGAUCGCAAGAUUAAAACUCAAAGGAAUUGACGGGGGCCCGCACAAGCGGUGGAGCAUGUGGUUUAAUUCGACGCAACGCGAAGAACCUUACCUGGAUUUGACAUCUCGGAAAUUUCUAUGAAAGUAGGAAGUGCCCUUCGGGGAAUCCGAUGACAGGUGCUGCAUGGCUGUCGUCAGCUCGUGUCGUGAGAUGUUGGGUUAAGUCCCGCAACGAGCGCAACCCUUAUCUUCAGUUACCAUCAUUAAGUU